AAUAGAUACCCCGGUAGUCCACGCCGUAAACGAUGAGUGCUAAGUGUUGGGGGGUUUCCGCCCCUUAGUGCUGCAGCUAACGCAUUAAGCACUCCGCCUGGGGAGUACGGUCGCAAGACUGAAACUCAAAGGAAUUGACGGGGGCCCGCACAAGCGGUGGAGCAUGUGGUUUAAUUCGAAGCAACGCGAAGAACCUUACCAGGUCUUGACAUCCCAUUGACCACUAUGGAGACAUAGUUUUCCCUUCGGGGACAACGGUGACAGGUGGUGCAUGGUUGUCGUCAGCUCGUGUCGUGAGAUGUUGGGUUAAGUCCCGCAACGAGCGCAACCCUUGUUCUUAGUUGCCAUCAUUUAGUUGGGCACUCUAAGGAGACUGCCGGUGACAAACCGGAGGAAGGUGGGGAUGACGUCAAAUCAUCAUGCCCCUUAUGACCUGGGCUACACACGUGCUACAAUGGACGGUACAAACGGUUGCCAACCCGCGAGGGGAGCUAAUCCGAUAAAACCGUUCUCAGUUCGGAUUGUAGGCUGCAACUCGCCUACA
This 544-nucleotide ribosomal RNA is filed under the name uncultured bacterium. RNAcentral's name for it is "bacterial SSU rRNA". It matches the Rfam family "Bacterial small subunit ribosomal RNA", at positions 777 to 1320 of the family's 1533-position model. The record is from RNAcentral.